Molecule: non-coding RNA, 378 nt
Organism: Pelobates cultripes (western spadefoot toad)
Lineage: Eukaryota; Metazoa; Chordata; Amphibia; Anura; Pelobatidae
Source: the annotation of a GenBank genome assembly
AAAUACUAUUUUUUUCAAGGGUGUGACCAUGCCGCUUUAAUGCAAAUUUAAAGCCAAAAUUACAAAGCAUAGCUGAUUUGCAGAAAUUCAGUUAUUCCAGGCUAUUUUUGGCCUUAAAUUUUUAAUUCACUUGAACUUCCCAACAACUAUUGCUUUGGUUCAUAACCCUGGGUAUUGUACCUGCAUAUAUUUCCUUUUCUAUUCCUCACAGAACAAUUUGUCUGUAUUCUGUCCCCUUCCCUAGUUCUUUCAUCUAUUUUAUAGAUCUACAUUCUAUAACCGUUCUAUAUUCCCUCUCAUCCUUUCUGUCUUGGGUUUCUUCCCUAAAUUGUAAAAAAUUAUUAAUGUUUUCCUAUCUUCUAUCCCUUUCUUCUUUUA